This 253-nucleotide ribosomal RNA is filed under the name uncultured bacterium. RNAcentral describes it as "partial 16S ribosomal RNA". It matches the Rfam family "Bacterial small subunit ribosomal RNA", at positions 524 to 776 of the family's 1533-position model. The record is from RNAcentral.
UACGUAGGUGGCAAGCGUUAUCCGGAAUUAUUGGGCGUAAAGAGCGCGCAGGUGGUAAAUUAAGUCUGAUGUGAAAGCCCACGGCUUAACCGUGGAGGGUCAUUGGAAACUGGUUGACUUGAGUGUAGAAGAGGGAAGUGGAAUUCCAUGUGUAGCGGUGAAAUGCGUAGAGAUAUGGAGGAACACCAGUGGCGAAGGCGGCUUCCUGGUCUGCAACUGACACUGAGGCGCGAAAGCGUGGGGAGCAAACAGG